UGUGGCCCCGCCCACCCUCAUAGUCCUGCCCCCCUCCAGCGUGGAGCUGCAGCAGGGGAAGGCCACACUCGUGUGUUGGCCAACAAGGGCUUCCCCUCAGACUGGAGGCUGAGCUGGAAGGUGGACGGGAGCAGCUGGAGCUCGGGUGUUAGCCAGAGCCCCGGGCUUCUGCAGAAGGACGACGGCCUCUACAGCUGGAGCAGCACCCUGACCCUCCAGGAGGACCAGUGGCUAAAGAAGACAGUGACCUGUGAGGCCACCAAGGACUCCCAGGCUCCUGUCAGCCAAACCCUGAGGAGAGAGCAAUGCACUGGGCAGUGAGCGUCCACGCCUGUGUUGGAGCUGCUAGAGCUCCUCUUGAUCUUCAGUGAGCUCAAACAUGGCUCUGCUUAAUGCUCUGAUCUUCAUCUCAUCACUUCCUCAUCAAAAUAA
Non-coding RNA from Pygocentrus nattereri (red-bellied piranha), 432 nucleotides. The record is from the annotation of a RefSeq genome assembly. Lineage: Eukaryota; Metazoa; Chordata; Actinopteri; Characiformes; Serrasalmidae.